RNAcentral lists this ribosomal RNA (884 nucleotides) under Subulicystidium longisporum. RNAcentral's name for it is "partial 25S ribosomal RNA". It matches the Rfam family "Eukaryotic large subunit ribosomal RNA", at positions 56 to 962 of the family's 3401-position model. The record is from RNAcentral. Lineage: Eukaryota; Fungi; Basidiomycota; Agaricomycetes; Trechisporales; Hydnodontaceae.
NNNNNNNNNNNNNNNNNNNUAGNAACUGCGAGUGAAGCGGGAAGAGCUCAAAUUUGAAAUCUGGCGGUUCUGCCGUCCGAGUUGUAAUCUGGAGAAGCGUUUUCCGUGCCGGACCGUGUACAAGUCCCUUGGAACAGGGCGUCAUAGAGGGUGAGAAUCCCGUCUUUGACACGGACUCCCGGUGCUCUGCGAUGCGCUCUCGAAGAGUCGAGUUGUUUGGGAAUGCAGCUCAAAAUGGGUGGUAAAUUCCAUCUAAAGCUAAAUAUUGGCGAGAGACCGAUAGCGAACAAGUACCGUGAGGGAAAGAUGAAAAGCACUUUGGAAAGAGAGUAAAACAGUACGUGAAAUUGUUGAAAGGGAAACGCUUGGAGUCAGUCGCGUCUUCCGGAACUCAGCCUUGCUUCUGCUAGGUGCACUUUCCGGUUCGACGGGUCAGCAUCGGCUUUGGGAGGCGGACAAAGGCGCGGGGAAGGUGGCAGCUCCGGCUGUGUUAUAGCCCCGCGUUGUACGCGUCUCCCGGGACCGAGGAAUCCGGCGCUCGUCGCCUGGGAUGCUGGCGUAAUGGCUUUAAGCGACCCGUCUUGAAACACGGACCAAGGAGUGCUACAUGCUCGCGAGUGUUUGGGUGGAAAACCCGAGCGCGCAAUGAAAGUGAAAGUCGAGACCCUUUGCGGGGGCACCGACGCCCGAGCCUGAAGUUUACGGACGGCCUUGCGGUAGAGCGAGUAUGUUGCGACCCGAAAGAUGGUGAACUAUUCCUGAGGAGGGCGAAGCCAGAGGAAACUCUGGUGGAGGCUCGUAGCGGUUCUGACGUGCAAAUCGAUCGCAGGACUUGGGUAUAGGGGCGAAAGNCUAAUCGAACCNNNNNNNNNNNNNNNNNNNNN